AGCGAACGCUGGCGGCAGGCCUAACACAUGCAAGUCGAACGAACCUUUCGGGGUUAGUGGCGGACGGGUGAGUAACACGUGGGAACGUGCCUUUAGGUUCGGAAUAACUCAGGGAAACUUGUGCUAAUACCGAAUGUGCCCUUCGGGGGAAAGAUUUAUCGCCUUUAGAGCGGCCCGCGUCUGAUUAGCUAGUUGGUUGAGGUAAUGGCUCACCAAGGCGACGAUCAGUAGCUGGUCUGAGAGGAUGAUCAGCCACAUUGGGACUGAGACACGGCCCAAACUCCUACGGGAGGCAGCAGUGGGGAAUCUUGCGCAAUGGGCGAAAGACUGACGCAGCCAUGCCGCGUGAAUGAUGAAGGUCUUAGGAUUGUAAAAUUCUUUCACCGGGGACGAUAAUGACGGUACCCGGAGAAGAAGCCCCGGCUAACUUCGUG
RNAcentral lists this ribosomal RNA (434 nucleotides) under uncultured bacterium. Its description in RNAcentral is "partial 16S ribosomal RNA". It matches the Rfam family "Bacterial small subunit ribosomal RNA", at positions 29 to 507 of the family's 1533-position model. The record is from RNAcentral.